CAGUCGACGGAGCUAGACGCUGAUGAAUAGCUUGCUAGGAAUCUUGUUUAGCUUAGUGGCGGACGGGUGAGUAACGCGUGAGCAACCUGCCUUUCAGAGGGGGAUAACGUUUGGAAACGAACGCUAAUACCGCAUGAUAUUAAAGGGCUGCAUGGCCUGAUAAUCAAAGGAGCAAUCCGCUGAAAGAUGGGCUCGCGUCCGAUUAGGUAGUUGGUGAGGUAACGGCCCACCAAGCCGACGAUCGGUAGCCGGACUGAGAGGUUGAACGGCCACAUUGGGACUGAGACACGGCCCAGACUCCUACGGGAGGCAGCAGUGAGGGAUAUUGGUCAAUGGGGGAAACCCUGAACCAGCAACGCCGCGUGAGGGAAGACGGUUUUCGGAUUGUAAACCUCUGUCCUCUGUGAAGAUGAUGACGGUAGCAGAGGAGGAAGCUCCGGCUAACUACGUGCCAGCAGCCGCGGUAAUACGUAGGGAGCAAGCGUUGUCCGGAUUUACUGGGUGUAAAGGGUGCGUAGGCGGCUUAGCAAGUCAGAAGUGAAAUCCAUGGGCUUAACCCAUGAACUGCUUUUGAAACUGUUGAGCUUGAGUGGAGUAGAGGUAGGCGGAAUUCCCGGUGUAGCGGUGAAAUGCGUAGAGAUCGGGAGGAACACCAGUGGCGAAGGCGGCCUACUGGGCUCUAACUGACGCUGAGGCACGAAAGCGUGGGUAGCAAACAGGAUUAGAUACCCUGGUAGUCCAUGCUGUAAACGAUGAUUACUAGGUGUGGGUGGACUGACCCCAUCCGUGCCGGAGUUAACACAAUAAGUAAUCCACC
RNAcentral lists this ribosomal RNA (817 nucleotides) under uncultured bacterium. RNAcentral describes it as "bacterial SSU rRNA". It matches the Rfam family "Bacterial small subunit ribosomal RNA", at positions 59 to 873 of the family's 1533-position model. The record is from RNAcentral.